UACGUAGGGGGCAAGCGUUGUCCGGAUUUAUUGGGCGUAAAGAGCUCGUAGGUGGUUCGGUAAGUCGGAUGUGAAAUCUCCAGGCUCAACCUGGAGGGGUCAUUCGAUACUGCCGUGACUAGAGGUCGGUAGGGGAGUGUGGAAUUCCUGGUGGAGCGGUGAAAUGCGCAGAUAUCAGGAGGAACACCGGUGGCGAAGGCGGUUCUCUGGGCAUUACCUGACGCUGAGGAGCGAAAGUGUGGGGAGCGAACAGG
This 254-nucleotide ribosomal RNA is filed under the name uncultured bacterium. RNAcentral's name for it is "partial 16S ribosomal RNA". It matches the Rfam family "Bacterial small subunit ribosomal RNA", at positions 524 to 776 of the family's 1533-position model. The record is from RNAcentral.